Molecule: ribosomal RNA, 502 nt
Filed under: uncultured bacterium
Lineage: Bacteria
Description: partial 16S ribosomal RNA
Rfam family: Bacterial small subunit ribosomal RNA
Source: RNAcentral
UGGGGAAUAUUGGACAAUGGGCGCAAGCCUGAUCCAGCAAUGCCGCGUGAGUGAUGAAGGCCUUAGGGUUGUAAAGCUCUUUCGCACGCGACGAUGAUGACGGUAGCGUGAGAAGAAGCCCCGGCUAACUUCGUGCCAGCAGCCGCGGUAAUACGAAGGGGGCUAGCGUUGUUCGGAAUUACUGGGCGUAAAGGGCGCGUAGGCGGCCUGUUUAGUCAGAAGUGAAAGCCCCGGGCUCAACCUGGGAAUAGCUUUUGAUACUGGCAGGCUUGAGUUCCGGAGAGGAUGGUGGAAUUCCCAGUGUAGAGGUGAAAUUCGUAGAUAUUGGGAAGAACACCGGUGGCGAAGGCGGCCAUCUGGACGGACACUGACGCUGAGGCGCGAAAGCGUGGGGAGCAAACAGGAUUAGAUACCCUGGUAGUCCACGCCGUAAACGAUGAUGCUAGACGUCGGGGUGCAUNCAGCUUCGGUGUUCGCCGCUAACGCAUUAAGCAUUCCGCCU